AUAACCAAAAACCGAAAAGUCAAACGAACCUUGCAAAUCGAAACACUCGAACUCGGUCCGAUCACAGAACCCGGCGGUGUAAUUCGGGUCGACGAUGGACCUCAGUAUGUACUGCUUCUUCGAACCGGAGUCCGGAACUAUACAAGCCUGGAGCUCCGACACGACGCCGUCGCACCGCCUGACCCGAACCAAAAUCGACGUCUCCUUCCUCUUGAACGAAGCGUGGAGGAUCUUCUGGACCCCACUUCUCCCGCCUUUGAACGGAGCCCUGUACAACUCUCCGCCGCGGCCGGAACCGGAGCCGCU
This 306-nucleotide long non-coding RNA is filed under the name Linum usitatissimum (flax). RNAcentral's name for it is "long non-coding RNA (LUSI_LNC000966)". Lineage: Eukaryota; Viridiplantae; Streptophyta; Magnoliopsida; Malpighiales; Linaceae. The record is from RNAcentral.